CGCUAAAUCAAUGAAAAAGAAAAAUGUCUUGUUAGAUUGGAAGACUUCUCUACUUUGAUUUGAUCUUUCGUUUUUGGAUCGUUGAACCGGACGAAAUCGGACGACGCGUCAACGAGAGGAACUUCUCUUUAACUCGCUAAAGUACCGACGACUAAUUCGAUAAGAAUCCAAGUAUACGCCCCCAACGUAGGGUGAAUUAAAGAAAGUGGAUACUUCGUGUAAAACGUAAUUACGUGUACGAUCAUCCGAGAGAACGAGAGAGAGUGAAUGUCUCUUUCCGCUCGGUCCGGUUUUUGUAUCGAAUUAUUUUUUAAAAAGAAUACGAACUUUCAACGGAGUUUGUUUGUUUCCUAGAAUUUAAGGAUUGUUGAUUGUCAUGUGUGUGAUUGUGUGUAAGAUAUAUAUGUGCCGAUAAUUAUGAUAGCGAAUUAAAAGACCAAUAACAAAAAAAAAAUAGAAAUAAUUUCUCUUACAAUUUACUUUAUAAAAAGUUUGUUUGAAGUAAAUCCGAGGAAACAAUUUUUUCCAUUUUGUUGAUUUAGUCCAUUGUCAUAAUUACCAGCACAUAUGGAUAUAUUCUUGAAAAAGAAGGUGUAUGGUUAAAUUAUAUUUUGUGAGGUGAAAGUGACGGUGCAAAUAUCUGUGACGGUGUUAUGCAAUCUUUGGAUACAGUACGAACGUACGAAAGGAAAUGAAAGGAUCGAA
This 705-nucleotide long non-coding RNA is filed under the name Polistes fuscatus (common paper wasp). RNAcentral describes it as "uncharacterized LOC122523472". The record is from RNAcentral. Lineage: Eukaryota; Metazoa; Arthropoda; Insecta; Hymenoptera; Vespidae.